AUUGAACGCUGGCGGCAUGCCUUACACAUGCAAGUCGAACGGUAACAGGUCUUCGGAUGCUGACGAGUGGCGAACGGGUGAGUAAUACAUCGGAACGUGCCUAGUAGUGGGGGAUAACUACUCGAAAGAGUGGCUAAUACCGCAUGAGAUCUACGGAUGAAAGCAGGGGAUCGCAAGACCUUGUGCUACUAGAGCGGCCGAUGGCAGAUUAGGUAGUUGGUGGGAUAAAAGCUUACCAAGCCGACGAUCUGUAGCCGGGCUGAGGGGACGAUCAGCAAGACUGGGACUGAGACACGGCCCAGACUCCUACGGGAGGCAGCAGUGGGGAAUUUUGGACAAUGGGCGAAAGCCUGAUCCAGCAAUGCCGCGUGCAGGAUGAAGGCCUUCGGGUUGUAAACUGCUUUUGUACGGAACGAAAAGCCCCGGGUUAAUACCCUGGGGUCAUGACGGUACCGUAAGAAUAAGCACCGGCUAACUACGUGCCAGCCGCCGCCGUAA
This 498-nucleotide ribosomal RNA is filed under the name uncultured bacterium. RNAcentral's name for it is "partial 16S ribosomal RNA". It matches the Rfam family "Bacterial small subunit ribosomal RNA", at positions 30 to 523 of the family's 1533-position model. The record is from RNAcentral.